AUGUUCCUAGUUUUGCUCAUGUUCCUCGACCCGUGCAACUCAUUUCAGGUGGUUAGUUUGUCGACUCUGGUUGUAUGGUCAUUCUUGACUUUACCUCUUGUUUUGAUUAGGAUCCUCACACAGAUGGUUUACUUGUUGUGGGCCCCUCGGCGCUAUAACUACCAGGCCCUCUAUGAGCUUGACUGGCUUCACCUUCCCUCUGAUGACACCGUCGCCAGUCUCUCCACCUCUCCUCGUCUACCAACUCUUUGUGGCAUCAUCCAUCGUCUUGGUCACUCAUGUGGCUCUCGUCUGUCAUCCUUAGUUCGAUGUGGCCUUCUUGCAUAUGUCUCUAGAGGUGUGUCUUUAGACUAUCAGGUUUGUCGGCUUUGCAAACAGGUUCAGUUACCUUUCCUUCGAAUUAAUCCAAACCAUCCUCCCAUGAUGAUCUUUGUACUCAUAACAUUCUUGGGGAGGGACACCAAAAUCACCUAUGUCUAA
This 480-nucleotide ribosomal RNA is filed under the name Triticum aestivum (bread wheat). RNAcentral describes it as "partial small subunit ribosomal RNA". Lineage: Eukaryota; Viridiplantae; Streptophyta; Magnoliopsida; Poales; Poaceae. The record is from RNAcentral.